This is a long non-coding RNA of Octopus sinensis (East Asian common octopus), 236 nucleotides long. RefSeq lists it as uncharacterized. The transcript is spliced from 3 exons. NCBI's taxonomy places the organism in Eukaryota, Metazoa, Mollusca, Cephalopoda, Octopoda, Octopodidae. The record is from RefSeq and is a predicted model, not a curated record.
UAUAUAUAUGUAUGUAUGUAUAUAUAUGUGGUGGGAUGCUGAAAAGUUCCUGGUUUUAAGGGUAUCACAAAAGGCUUGGUUGGAGGCCCAACCUUCUGAGUUCUUUUACAGGGCUUAGGCAAAAUCGAAGGACUACUGCAAUAUGCGUGUGAAUCUGAAAGGGGAAUAUGUUGAAUAGAAUCAUAAUUAACUGAUUCUCCUGUAAUUUCUUUUACCCAAAGCCAGGAACUUUUCAG